UGCAUAAUACGGAGGGUUCU
Molecule: microRNA, 20 nt
Filed under: Gallid alphaherpesvirus 2
Lineage: Duplodnaviria; Heunggongvirae; Peploviricota; Herviviricetes; Herpesvirales; Orthoherpesviridae
Description: mdv1-miR-M12-3p
Gene: mdv1-miR-M12-3p
Source: miRBase by way of RNAcentral